Molecule: transfer-messenger RNA, 362 nt
Filed under: Terriglobales
Lineage: Bacteria; Pseudomonadati; Acidobacteriota; Terriglobia
Also listed under: 1 other name
Description: JAFAIN01 sp019236695 Standard tmRNA
Rfam family: transfer-messenger RNA
About the family: Bacterial tmRNA, also known as 10Sa RNA or SsrA, is named for its dual tRNA and mRNA-like properties. Its role is to liberate the mRNA from a stalled ribosome.
Source: RNAcentral
GGGGGCGUCACGGCUUCGACGGAAGUGCUUGCGGUUGAGAGGCAUGCCGGGGUGUCACACCCGUAAUCGUGGCAAAAACACAAUUGCCAACCAACAGAUGGCAUACGCUGCUUAAUUGAUUUAAGUAGCCGUCCUCCGCGGCUUCGCCUGCGGGCUGCGGAAGGGCGUCGCACAGCAGGCUCGCCCGCCGCCUUCGGUCCGCAGGCGGCAGGCUAGAUCAUCGGACUAGCGGCUGGCGUUUCUUGCCGGCUCUGAGCGUACGCCGCGAACGUUCCCGUAAGGGAGCAUGAACCGCGCUAAGCAUGUAGGCUCUUGGCCAGUAACAUUUUCGGACCCGGGUUCAACUCCCGGCGCCUCCACCA